GCCGAACCGUGCGAACGUUGUUCGGAAUCACUGGGCUUAAAGGGUGCGUAGGCGGGGUGUCCAGUCUGGGGGGAAAUCCCACGGCUCAACCGUGGAACUGCCUCAGAUACUGACGACCUCGAGGGAGGUAGGGGCGAGCGGAACUGUGGGUGGGGCGGUGAAAUGCGUUGAUAUCCACAGGAACUCCGGUGGCGAAGGCGGCUCGCUGGACCUCUUCUGACGCUGAGGCACUAAAGCUAGGGGAGCAAACGGG
RNAcentral lists this ribosomal RNA (253 nucleotides) under uncultured bacterium. RNAcentral's name for it is "partial 16S ribosomal RNA". It matches the Rfam family "Bacterial small subunit ribosomal RNA", at positions 524 to 776 of the family's 1533-position model. The record is from RNAcentral.